GCGCCAGACACAGGAGCCAGAUUCUCGUCUUGGGUCCCAUCCAGCUUAUCGACCCUGACAAAAAGGAAAAGGGCUCCGCAAAGGAGGACGCCGGUUGACAAGAUCAUCCACAUUUGUACUACGAAUCUGAAUCGCAAAUCAAACAUACUCACCUUUGAUUAAAAGCCGCAAGAAAGACAA
Long non-coding RNA from Hippocampus comes (tiger tail seahorse), 180 nucleotides. RefSeq lists it as uncharacterized. The transcript is spliced from 2 exons. The record is from RefSeq and is a predicted model, not a curated record. Lineage: Eukaryota; Metazoa; Chordata; Actinopteri; Syngnathiformes; Syngnathidae.